Molecule: long non-coding RNA, 834 nt
Organism: Triticum dicoccoides
Lineage: Eukaryota; Viridiplantae; Streptophyta; Magnoliopsida; Poales; Poaceae
Exons: 4
Source: RefSeq, a predicted model, not a curated record
ACUAGUUAACUUAUCUAAGUUAUUAUUGGUACUGUUACAAUGUGCUUGUAUUGAACCAUCUAUCCAAGUUUAUUACUAACUCUAUAUGUGUUUCUCUGCACGUAUGCUUGCCUAUACAUCUAUUUGCUUUAUGGACAUGACUCUUGUGUUUGUUUGCUUGUUAUACUAUGACAAUUGCAAUGCUUAUUUAGGCUACUAGGUUGUGUGCUUGUGCUUGUGGUAAACAAACUGAAGGUACAUGUUUGAUCCCUGUACAUCUUGUUGUAAACUUUGUGCAACCUACACCGCUCAACAUGAGGUGCUGCAAGAAAAUGAAACAUACUUAUUUUGCAAAAGAAGGCAACAGGGCACACACAACAAAUUGGAAGUGGACAAGCGCAUGGCAAAAGCAGGAAUGCGACCACAAGCAAGCGGAUGAGGAGAUGUGUAUUUAUCUAGCUGUGCACACUAUUUUCAGUCAACAAGUGACCAGAAACUAAACAAUCCUGGCACUUAUCUAGCUGUACUGGCAGCUCCUUCCUCCAGGGAUGAUGCUACAAUUCUGUCAACAGGUUCUUUAUGAUGGGUUUUGCUACAGAAGUUGACAGAGGUUUGGAAGAUCUUCAAACUGCUGAAGAUUUGGAAGACCUACGAUUAAGUUGGUGCAUUGAUCAUGUAAUAUGCUUUGUUUGUUGAACCUGGACGCUUGCUCUGCUCAUUUUGCUGGUUAAGCCACUAUAUGCUCAUUUUAGUUGUGUGGCACCCUCAGAAAGAUAUGUACUUUCUCCUUUUGUGGCACUACUUCAGUUUGGUUGUGGCACAUUUAACAUAUAUGUACUAUACUUGUGGCAGAAC